RNAcentral lists this long non-coding RNA (3625 nucleotides) under Bemisia tabaci. RNAcentral describes it as "lncRNA ENSSSA1NGG008558". The record is from RNAcentral. Lineage: Eukaryota; Metazoa; Arthropoda; Insecta; Hemiptera; Aleyrodidae.
UUUUGAAAAUUCUUCAAUUUCCUCAAUUUAACUGCACUCGGCACUCGGGCUGCAUGAAAAGUCCAUGAAGGGUACUCCCUGGGAGUUCGGUAAUCGGACUGCAUGGAAAGUCUAUGAUAGGUACCUCGUAGGAGUUGGUCAGAGUUCGUUUCUUUGACUGCCUGUUUGUUCCUUCUGUUUCUUUUUAGUUAGUUUUCGUUUUUAUUUUUUGGGGCGGUUAAUUUGAAAACUGUUGAUAAUUUUUUACAGGUUGUGGAGUUUAUGUUUUGGGGACGUUCUCCUGAACCUGAGAUUUGAAGCGAAAUUACCCUGGUGUUCAUCAUUCCUGCGAUUUACACCCAGUCAUGCUUAAUUGUGUUGACUAAGACGGCUCAAAGUGGGCGUCAGUCUCUGCAGUAAACCGGUAUUAGUAAGUAUUCCACAUCCGUAGACAUUCUAUGAAUCUUCAGUAGAAAUAAUAUCAACAGCUAUAGUCUGUCAGUUGACUCUGAUUACACCUCCUGGGGCUGGUGCGAAAAAAUUGCACAGGUUUUAUUGUAUGAGAGAUUACUGUGGUUUCAUUGAGUGGUUUAAGUAUCUAGUAAGUGUUGAGGAUUAGAUUUUUUAAGGAUAGAAGGACAAGGGAAACAUUGAGCACAAAACUGAAUCCUCCUUGCAUUUUAUUCUGGCCUAUCUUCUUACCUUUUAAAUCCAGAAGCAAAUUUUGAAAAUUCUUCAAUUUCCUCAAUUUAAUGAGCCUUUAUCUUCAAUUUUGUGUACUUAGGCAGGUAUUCUUUUCAGUCUCUCAGUCUCUUCCAAAGAUCCAUUUUUUGAGAGUGGUUGCUUUUGACAGUGUUAUCAGUGAUUCCAAGCUCAUGUAAUGUUUAAUAAUUGUUGGGUAAAUUAAAAAUGUAUCUAUCUAUCUAUCUAUCUAUCUAUCUAUCUAUCUAUCUAUCUAUCUAUUCAUUUAUUUAUAGGUGCACAAUGGUCACUUGUUGUGUUAAAGGCUGCACCAGUCGCACAUCAACAUCGGGCCCGAAGAUUCCCAAUAUCUCUUUUUAUCGAUUUCCAACAGAUCCUGUUUUGCGGAAAAGGUGGUUAAACAGGAUUAAUCGCAAAGAUUUUUCACCAACCAUUCACUCCAGGGUAUGUUCCCGGCACUUCCAGCUUAAUUCAGCGGUUCCGUCUAUAUUUCCAAAAGGCACACAUAUACCUAAGGGAUUGCUGCUAAUCAAGUUUUUGCACCACGAUCUUCGUACGAGGAUGCAAAAGCAGUUGGCUGUUUGGUCAAAUGUAGCAGAUUUGAACUGUCAAGUUGAGAAUUUUGUAAUUAUUUGUAAGUUAAAUGUUUGUAAAAUAUAGGAGCAGAGGCUUCAUCAUUAUCUGGAUUGCAUUUUGCAAAAAGGAACCAAGGGCAUUUCAAUGUUCCUUGGAUUGUGCAACUUACAUUCUGUGCAAUAAAAUCACUGGAAUCAUACAAAAAAAUCAAAUAUACUAAGGGAAUUUUCAUCUUGAAUCUAUAGUUUAUUGGGAGUAAAGAUAAAAUUGUUUUAUAUGAUUAGUUUAUAUUUACAAGAUAAAAGAAGUUGCUGAAUCUUAGCGAUAUCAGAAUGCUCUUGGUUCCUUUUCGCAAAAUGCAAUCCAUCUAUGCCAUAUUUUUGAGAGUAUCUCAUCCAAGCGAGAAAAUUCUCAUCAAUUGAAUCGUUGAUUAAUUUUAGAGUGACGGGUGGAUCAUGUCAAGAAAUUUGAUCUGAGUUCCUUGGAGCAGAAUCAGUUCUGUCCUUUUUUUUUUAGAUAUAUUUAUUUAUCUAAUAAUGUUUUUGCAUAAAUAUUGCAAAUAUUUACAUGGGUUUGGCCGUUAGAGUCCUGCUCAAAAGUAUCAUCACGUAAUAUUUUCUCAUUGUUAGAGGUUACAAAUUUUUUUGUGAUGACCUAAUAUGUACGGAAAUCAUUCUCAAGGUUUAAUACAUGCUAACCGAUCAAACAUUUUCCACGCUCAUUGGAGUAAAUUAAUUUGUACCCUUUUUAUUGUUCUGCGUAGCCGUUAAAAUACAUCGGCUUAUUGUUGACAUCUAACUCUAGUCUCAAACGAAUUUCCUGAGUAUUUUGAUCUCAACUCUCUUCCUAUCCUUUCUAUUUUUAUGAGGAUUCUUUUCUAAGUUAUGUAGGUACUUUAUUUUUAUUGGAAUCUUCCUUUUCCUCAUUAGGAAAGCUCUGAAGUUAUGACUUCCAAAGUCCAACUUGAAGGAAUGUGCUGAGCUAUCGCCUUCUAUCAGACUAAAAAAGACAGUCUCGUUAGGCUUCUCUUUGUAGCCUGUUCACUUGUAUCAUUUCUCAUCUCUCAUCAUGUUUAAAUUAUGUUUUUUUGUGCAAUAAACUUGCUCUUUUUUCACUCUCCUCAAGUUAUUCUCUUCUCAUGCAUUCCUACUGGAACUUGAUAUUUUGAACAUCAAAUUAUGGAGUCAGAGACAUACACAAAAAUAGCCAGAAUAAUUUUAGGAAAAACAAAAUAGUUAAAUGGGUAACCAAAAAAAAUGAAAACUCCAGCCCUAGAGGGUUUUAAUUUUUUUGGUAAUUUUAUAUUUUUGUAGGCCUGGUUGAUAAAGGGGUUGAGACCACCCGGAAACGCCCUCCUAGGCAUUUAUGUAUUAUGUUUGUCUCUAGCCAUGGAUGCCCACUUUAUUUUGUUUUUCAUUCAAUUAUGUGGUAAGUUGAUAGAAAUAAAAAUAAUUACCUAGGUUUAUUUUUAAUCUAACAGAAGUUAUUCAUUCUGCAACAAGUAGUGUAGGUAUAAUAUUUUAAGUCAUGUACAUAAAAAGUAUAUUAUUAAUAUAAAUCUUCAAUGAUAAUUUUUUAAUAACAUUAAUCAGGGGUGUAGAAAAAAUGUUUCAAAAUUCUGUACUCCUUGUCGGAGGCAUACUGAUCCAAAAAAGCAACAUCGCCACACGGUCAAUUCAGUAUGAAAUUAUUGCAUUCAUUUCCUCAUUCACUCGAUUUAUUCUUCGUGUUUUUUGCAACCCUACUUGAAAUUUUCUCAAGCUCCAACUAAUUUACAGCCUAAUCUCUCAAGUACAUAGAGAAUUUUUUUUGGAAUUCUGUGAUUUCUGAAAGGUCAAAACUAAUACCUAGAAGACUGUCCGAAUUUUAAUAAGAUAUUUUUGUGGUGGCAAAUACCUAAGUAUAGUUCCUAAUCUUUGGAAAAGUUAUCUAAUAUCAAUCAAAGUCUGAAUCUGAUGAAGUCUACCACAUUUUGCAUCCUUCCUAGCGCUGAUGGAGAGAAAGGGAUUAAUUAAAAUGAAUUUUAGAUCGUCCUUUAACCCUUACUGUGGCUGUGCUUCAUAUGCAAACGGACAAAGAGAAUUAGGAUCCUUAUGCUUGUUUCUUAGAAUGAUUAAAGAUGUCGGUCCAUACUUGAUAGGCCCAGUUCAUACAGGCAAUCAGUAACAAUUUUGCAUAAAUUGACUAAUUGAGAUACUUAAGUAGAUAAUGCUCUUAUUGAGGAAUGAUACUUUAUUUAAAACAAAAAUUUAAAAAAAAACAACUUUAAUCGGGACUAAGGCCGCAAAUAAUUAAAAGAAUACAUCAAAUAAAAUAAAAAGCCUGGGAGGUUUCGCAGGGAUUACACCCGCAUUUUCAACCGGCAAAA